This 253-nucleotide ribosomal RNA is filed under the name uncultured bacterium. RNAcentral's name for it is "partial 16S ribosomal RNA". It matches the Rfam family "Bacterial small subunit ribosomal RNA", at positions 524 to 776 of the family's 1533-position model. The record is from RNAcentral.
GACGAACCGUGCGAACGUUAUUCGGAAUCACUGGGCUUAAAGGGCGCGUAGGCGGGCGGCCAAGUCAGAGGUGAAAGCCCCCAGCUCAACUGGGGAAGUGCCUUUGAUACUGGUCGUCUCGAGGGAGAUAGGGGCGUGCGGAACUUCCGGUGGAGCGGUGAAAUGCGUAGAUAUCGGAAGGAACACCGGUGGCGAAAGCGGCGCACUGGACCACAUCUGACGCUGAGGCGCGAAAGCUAGGGGAGCAAACAGG